GACGAACGCUGGCGGCGUGCUUAACACAUGCAAGUCGAACGGUGAUGCUCCAGCUUGCUGGAGUGGAUCAGUGGCGAACGGGUGAGUAACACGUGAGCAACCUGCCCCAGACUCUGGAAUAAGCGCUGGAAACGGCGUCUAAUACUGGAUACGAAACUGGCCCGCAUGGGCAUGGUUUGGAAAGUUUUUCGGUUUGGGAUGGGCUCGCGGCCUAUCAGCUUGUUGGUGAGGUAAUGGCUCACCAAGGCGACGACGGGUAGCCGGCCUGAGAGGGCGACCGGCCACACUGGGACUGAGACGCGGCCCAGACUCCUACGGGAGGCAGCAGUGGGGAAUAUUGCACAAUGGGCGAAAGCCUGAUGCAGCGACGCCGCGUGAGGGAUGACGGCCUUCGGGUUGUAAACCUCUUUCAGCAGGGAAGAAGCGAAAGUGACGGUACCUGCAGAAGAAGCACCGGCUAACUACGUG
This 468-nucleotide ribosomal RNA is filed under the name uncultured bacterium. RNAcentral describes it as "partial 16S ribosomal RNA". It matches the Rfam family "Bacterial small subunit ribosomal RNA", at positions 28 to 507 of the family's 1533-position model. The record is from RNAcentral.